Long non-coding RNA from Cyanistes caeruleus (blue tit), 2420 nucleotides. RefSeq lists it as uncharacterized. Lineage: Eukaryota; Metazoa; Chordata; Aves; Passeriformes; Paridae. The record is from RefSeq and is a predicted model, not a curated record.
GCGCCUCCAUCUUGCGGCGGGACGGGCCUGAGGGAGCCGCGGGGCUGGCGCCGGCUGGGACCUCUGGGGGCUCCCUCUCCGCCCCACCGGCGGCUCGUCAGUGCUCAGACACACCCCAGGACACCUCACGGUGCCGCAUCGCCGCAGGAGAGGGGCAGCCCUCAGCCCCGUCCCGCUCCCCUGAUAGCCGGCUGUAGGCGCACAAACGCUCGGGCAGUUCUGUGAUGGGGGGGAAGGGAGUCAUCUGAGGUGAAGGCAGAGCAGACGCACCAGAGGCGCAUCAAAGCUCUUAAGGUGCUUUGAAACGGAAAUUGCGGCCAGGACCAGUGCAGAUCCCCAGCCAGGGCGGGCGCCGAGGCAGAAGGAGGGGACAGCUUUGUGUGUGGGCCUGAUCCUGCAGCGCUCGGACCCCAGCGAGUCCUGGCGUCACUGCUCCUCCUGGCUCCAGCCGGCUCGCAUGGAAGAAGUUGCAGGAUGAGGCUCAGGGGUUCAUCUUUCCUCCUGUCUGGUAGAAGCUGAAGCACCAGUUUAAGCACUUGGUUCUGCUGCAGCUCCUGAAUGAGCAGGGUGUAACCAUGCACAGACAUCCUGUCAGCUACUGCAGAGGCCUGGAGCCCUGUGCCAACACUGUGAUGGGCUGUGCCUGCAGAAAUGCAGAAAGAGCUCCAUCCCAGUGCUCUCAGCAGCGAGUCCCUGCGGAGCCCUAAGGGCAAGAGCAUGUCCAUCUGCAAAGCAGAAAUGAGUCUGUUCCAGAGGACACUGGAAAUGACACUGCCAGAGCAGAGACUUCCCACCCACCUUGUGCAACGGCUUCAGUGAGACCACUUAUAAAGAUCAACAGAUCAGUAACAGACCCUAAAGGAUACACUUAAUAACAAAAUUUAAAACUACAGGACACUAAUUCUGACUGUAAAGGUGUCAAAUGGUGGCUCCUAUAGAAAUGUAUUUAUUGGAUUACUACUUGGAAAUACACUCUCUCAGCCAUGAACUCAAAUUACUGUUUCCAUCAACUCCUUUCUCUAUCUUGGAAAAGCUACAAACAGGAGUAAGAAAGAACAGAGAGUGAAGGACACCAUAUUCUCCUACACAGACAUCAAAGAAGUGAAUUUGUUAAGAAAGAAAAAGCCCCAAACAUUGCAGUACUUUUUCUGCCACAGAAGCAAAUAUAAACAAGCAUCUUGCCUGGUCAUUUUUGUUUUCCCUGGGUUUUGGGUUUGGUUUGGUUUGUUUUUUACUGGUGUUUUGAAUUACUCAAUCACUUGCCUUCAACAUUGAAACCAAGCACUCAAAGAGACCCUGGCAGCUCUAGAAAAAUAUAACACUCAAUUAAACCAGAAAAGAAAAAUGAUACAAUCAGCAGCAAUAUAUAUUCCCUAACAGAACUUUCCCCUAAUGUGCUUUAGCUCAAAAGCAGAGAUGAAAGAAAUUCAGUCUCUGAAUUUACCCACCCUAGCUAAGGUCUCUUGUGGUCUACUUGUUUAUGAAACCAUCAGUACAGUGUUAAGGAAUUGCUGCCUGGCCCUUCCCUGGAAAUGGAGAAUCAUCAACGUCUUCAUAACAGGGGCUUCAGGGAGCAAAUCACAGCCAUGUGGAACCUUCUUAGCAACAAUCUGAAAGAGCAGUAAAUUAAUACUUAUAAAAAAUAGCAAAUAAGUCAAAGAACAGACAUGAUGCCUCGUAAAUUAAGCUGGCAAGCCAGCCAUUUCAUUACAGCUAAAGAGAAAUUCUGCAUUUAGCAAGAGGCAUGGGACUGUACUUACAAAAGGCAGGUUUCUACCUUGGAAAGCAAGACAUUAACAUGGUCAAUUAUCAACUGCACAGUAACUAUAGAAACUCCUGGUACAACUUUAUGGCUGAAAGGGUUAGUGAAAUUCUUGGGUGCAUAAAUAACAAUAUAAAUAGGAAAAGUCUGGUUACUUUCAAUCCUGCACUUGGCACUUUUGCACCUGCUAGCAGAAUAAAGCAUCCUGUUCUGGCAUCCCCAAUUCAAGCAAGACAUUGAUAUGCUGGAGAGGGCUCCGAGGACCACAAGAACUACAAAGGAUCGAAACAUCUUGAAGUGAAAGCCUCAAGUUCACUCUCUACUCACUCUCUCCAAUUUAGCAAAGAGAAAGAAAAUUGAAAAGCCACAAACUCCUGCUCAGCCUAUGUGGAAAAGAAUGCUGAUAACAGAGGGCUCCUUGUUCUAGUAGACAAAAGUAUAACAAGAUUCAAUGACUUUAAGUUAAAGCUGGAGAAGUCUGGCCUUGAACUAUGGUGCACAUUUUUGCAACAAGAGAGAGAGAGAGAAGAAUUUUUUGUAAGCAUCUUGUUAGGUGUUUGGAUGCACUUUUCAUCCAUGGGAAUUUUCAAAUUCAAGUUCUUUCAGCUGUUUUUUAAAAAAAUUAUGUUUAAGCCAAAUAAAAGUAUACAGUCUUACA